RNAcentral lists this ribosomal RNA (472 nucleotides) under uncultured bacterium. RNAcentral's name for it is "SSU rRNA". It matches the Rfam family "Bacterial small subunit ribosomal RNA", at positions 26 to 518 of the family's 1533-position model. The record is from RNAcentral.
AGGAUGAACGCUGGCGGCGUGCCUAACACAUGCAAGUCGAACGUCCUGUCUCGCAAGAGGCAGGGAGUGGCGGACGGGUGAGUACCACGUGGGUCAUCUACCGUGAGGUGAGGAAUACCGGCGAGAAAUCGCCGACAAGACCGCAUAGGCUCGAUGCAAGUCGAGCAAAGCUCUUUCGAGGGAGGGAGCGCCACACGAGGAGCCUGCGCCCGAUUAGCUAGCUGGUGGAGUAAUGGUUCACCAGGGCGACGAUCGGUAGCUGGUCUGAGAGGACGAUCAGCCACACUGGGAUUGAGAACGGCCCAGACUCCUACGGGGGGCAGCAGUGAGGAAUUUUCGUCAAUGGGGGCAACCCUGAACGAGCAACGCCGCGUGCAGGAAGAAGGUUUUCGGAUCGUAAACUGCUUUUCUCGGGAAGAGAACGGACGGUACCCGAGGAAUCAGCCCCGGCUAACUACGUGCCAGCAGCCGC